GACGAACGCUGGCGGCGUGCUUAACACAUGCAAGUGGAGCGACGAAGGGGGCUUCGGCCCCUGGCAGAGCCGCGAACGGGUGAGUAACACGUGGGUAACCCACCCCGAUGACCGGGACAACCCGAGGAAACUCGGGCUAAUACCGGAUGUGGUCCGUAGCCAUCAGGCGACGGACCAAAGAUAGCUUCGGCCUUCGCAUCGGGACGGGCCCGCGGCCCAUUAGCUUGUUGGUGGGGUAACGGCCUACCAAGGCGACGAUGGGUAGCUGGUCUGAGAGGACGAUCAGCCACACUGGGACUGAGACACGGCCCAGACUCCUACGGGAGGCAGCAGUGGGGAAUCUUGCACAAUGCGCGAAAGCGUGAUGCAGCAACGCCGCGUGGGGGAAGACGGCCUUCGGGUUGUAAACCCCUUUCAGUUGGGACGAAGCUUCGUCCGUUAAUAGCGGACUGGAGUGACGGUACCUUCACAAGAAGCCCCGGCUAACUACGUGCCAGCCGCCGCCGUAAAAC
RNAcentral lists this ribosomal RNA (512 nucleotides) under uncultured bacterium. Its description in RNAcentral is "bacterial SSU rRNA". It matches the Rfam family "Bacterial small subunit ribosomal RNA", at positions 28 to 526 of the family's 1533-position model. The record is from RNAcentral.